GAUGAACGCUAGCUACAGGCUUAACACAUGCAAGUCGAGGGGCAGCAUGGUCUUAGCUUGCUAAGGCCGAUGGCGACCGGCGCACGGGUGAGUAACACGUAUCCAACCUGCCGUCUACUCUUGGACAGCCUUCUGAAAGGAAGAUUAAUACAAGAUGGCAUCAUGAGUCCGCAUGUUCACAUGAUUAAAGGUAUUCCGGUAGACGAUGGGGAUGCGUUCCAUUAGAUAGUAGGCGGGGUAACGGCCCACCUAGUCUUCGAUGGAUAGGGGUUCUGAGAGGAAGGUCCCCCACAUUGGAACUGAGACACGGUCCAAACUCCUACGGGAGGCAGCAGUGAGGAAUAUUGGUCAAUGGGCGCAGGCCUGAACCAGCCAAGUAGCGUGAAGGAUGACUGCGCUAUGGGUUGUAAACUUCUUUUAUAAAGGAAUAAAGUCGGGUAUGUAUACCCGUUUGCAUGUACUUUAUGAAUAAGGAUCGGCUAACUCCGUG
Molecule: ribosomal RNA, 490 nt
Filed under: uncultured bacterium
Lineage: Bacteria
Description: partial 16S ribosomal RNA
Rfam family: Bacterial small subunit ribosomal RNA
Source: RNAcentral